UGGAGUUUGUCACAAAUAUAUAAUCUAUAUUAGGUGGAGUUUGUCACAAAUGUUAGCUUAGUGUGGUUUACGUCUUCCGUAUGGUUUGCGAACUAUUAUAAAAAAAAUGUAUAUUCACCAAGUGCACCUAUAUGGUUGGCUGCGGGUUCCUUCAUUGUUAAAAAAAAAAGUAACAUAACAUAUUUAAGUUGCAUUAAUGUGUUAACUUCAUAUCCUAAUAACCAAUAAUAAUACACAAAAAUUCGAAUGCAACACCACAAUCCGACAAACCCAAAAAAGGCUUCUCAUACCCGGUGCUUUAACCUCAAUCACAUAGAAUCAUUUUUAACUCAAUUUAUUUUAAUCGAAAAGUAGAAAAAGAAUUUAUGUCACA
RNAcentral lists this long non-coding RNA (373 nucleotides) under Erythranthe guttata (spotted monkey flower). RNAcentral's name for it is "long non-coding RNA (EGUT_LNC003455)". The record is from RNAcentral. Lineage: Eukaryota; Viridiplantae; Streptophyta; Magnoliopsida; Lamiales; Phrymaceae.